This 408-nucleotide ribosomal RNA is filed under the name uncultured bacterium. Its description in RNAcentral is "partial 16S ribosomal RNA". It matches the Rfam family "Bacterial small subunit ribosomal RNA", at positions 28 to 526 of the family's 1533-position model. The record is from RNAcentral.
GACGAACGCUGGCGGCGUGCUUAACACAUGCAAGUCGAACGGAGUGGCGAACGGGUGAGUAACACGUGGGUGAUCUGCCUUGCACUUCGGGAUAAGCUUGGGAAACUGGGCCUAAUACCGGAUAGUGCAAGAUGAGCUCGCGGCCUAUCAGCUUGUUGGUGGGGUAAUGGCCUACCAAGGCGUCGACGGGUAGCCGGCCUGCGAGGGUGUACGGCCACAUUGGGACUGAGAUACGGGCAAGGCGCCUACGGGAGGCAGCGGUGGGGAAUAGUGCACAAUAGGCGGAAGCCGGAUGGAGCGACGCCGCGUGGGGGAUGAAGGCCUUCGGGUUGGAAACGCCUUUCGACAGGGACGCGGUACCUGUAUAAGAAGCACCGGCUAACUACGUGCCAGCAGCCGCGGUAAUAC